Vespula vulgaris is the source of this 893-nucleotide long non-coding RNA. RefSeq lists it as uncharacterized. The record is from RefSeq and is a predicted model, not a curated record. The transcript is spliced from 3 exons. NCBI's taxonomy places the organism in Eukaryota, Metazoa, Arthropoda, Insecta, Hymenoptera, Vespidae.
AAUGAAAAAAAUAAUAUUUGAUUUGACUCGUAUAAUAGCUGUGAUGAUGUAAUCGAAUUACAGGAUCCACUUCCCUUCCUUGCGUAUGGUCUCUUCGCCAUCUUGGACACAGUGACAAGUGCACACGGUGCUUCGUCGCUCCGCAUAAUUACAGAUUUCCAAGAAUUUCACGAGUUACGAUACAGUGCAUUGAAUAUACCAGUUUUUUAUGCUCUUCGAUACGUAUACAACUUUAUUGCAAUCACGCACAUAGGAAUGAAAUAAUCGAGUGUUGUGUCGCAAAAAUAAAAAUAUCGCGAAGUAGAAGCAGUGUUUGUUCAUACGCAUUUCGUGAUUUAAACAAUAAGUGUUCUUGCAUGGAUUGCGUGCAAUGCAGUCAUUAGAGUCAGUGUUUGUUCGCGAAGUAUUUUAUUUUAACAGUCGCACAGACUGUAUUUAUAAAAAAACAGUAGAUUUUCGCGAAAUAAAUUCAGUGACCGUUCGUUAAUAAAUAACUACCGCGAAUUAGAAUCAAUGCAUCACUCAAGAGGAUCUCAACCAACUUCGAUGUCGACCUACCUCAUUUUCAACCAGCUACAUAUCAUCCACCCUCAAUUUCAACCUAAAUCGCGGUCGAAUGUUUUGGAGCCACCACAGAACUUCUUAAGUAGUAAGUUAAUUUUUAAGUACUUCCGAUCACUCAGUUAUAUCGAGGACGAAAGGUCCGAAUCAGCUCGAGUGAUUGGUUAUAAUUAUUAAGUAAAAAAGCAUUGAGUGACCACGAGAAAAUUUCGUCGAAACUUACUCGUGAAUGGUUUCUUAUUUUUUUAUUUAUUUAUUAGAUCAGAUUAAGACUUUCUUGUUUCAUACCCGUUUAUAAUUAUUUCUACUUUAUACAAAAAUUAUUGUAAUAC